RNAcentral lists this long non-coding RNA (1154 nucleotides) under Oreochromis niloticus (Nile tilapia). RNAcentral's name for it is "lncRNA (ENSONIG00000041469.1)". The record is from RNAcentral. Lineage: Eukaryota; Metazoa; Chordata; Actinopteri; Cichliformes; Cichlidae.
AUGGCCUCGAAACGGCAACAGGAGUCGGGAGCGGAGAAAAGAAAGAAGAAGAGGAAGCGUGAUGAAACUCAGGCGUCGCUUGCCGGGUCAAUGCUUAAAUAUGUUCAAGGAGGAUCUCAAGGACAGGAUGAACCAUCCAGUAGUAGUGCCAUCCCUGGACAUCAACCACCAGCCAUUGUAGACCCUGCAACAAUCCCUAGCCAAGAAGAACAAGAACCAUCAACCACCAGUUCAGGUACAGUUCCAUACACAAGUACCACUGAGAGUCCUGUCACUGAGAGACUAUCAGAAAGUGACACUGUGGAGACAUGUGUGCCCCCUUCAACCGAUCCUGCUCUUUGGCCAGCUCACAUUGUAGAUGCUGAUCGUGUUGAAAUUGUGCGGAGAGGUCCUUUUAAUGUCAGCUCUGAUUUUAAUUUUCCAAAGGGGCCUGAGUAUUUAUUUGUAACAGUAUUUUUAACCUCCUUUAACCUUAUUUAUUUGUUUAACUGUCAUGUUUGUUGUUAUUUAAUUAAACAAAUUCCACUGAGAAAUUCAAAAGUAUUAAUGUUUUUUUUUUUUUUUUUUUAAGUGGCGGGGGGGGGCACCAUAAAGCAUUUGUGCUUAGGGCACCCAAAUGGCUAGCAACGGCCCUGCACACAGACCUUAAAUUCGUUGACUCCAUUUUCCUCAUUGGUAUUCAGCACAACAGCAGGGUGUCCCUGGGGGAUUCUGCUCUAUUCUCUCGGUCUCCCUCUCAUCCACGGUAUGUGUGUAAACACUUGUCCGUCCUUCUUUUUUGGAAUGAAGGACAUCUUUGAAAAAGUGAGGGCAUUUUGGCACAACAGUGCCGAGCAUGUUAGGGUUCGGGUGAUCAUUUGGUAAUUGUGACGGUUAGGGAUAAAGGGUAAGGAGCAACAGGGAAUGUCACUGUGUGUCCUCAAAAAGACUGAAAGCCACGUGUGUGUGUGUGUGUGUGUGUGUGUGUGUGUGUGUGUGUGUGUGUGUGUGUGUGUGUGUGUGUGUGUGUGUGAAAGAUGGGAGGGGGCUAUCCUGACCCAGAGUUCAGACAGACACAAAGAAAUCUUUUGUGGUCCCACGCUCACUCUCACUGCCGGCUGCACAGAGAAGUUUUUCAGGGGAACAAAUCCAGACUGCAGUAGUUUAAUCAGUGG